This 494-nucleotide ribosomal RNA is filed under the name uncultured bacterium. RNAcentral describes it as "partial 16S ribosomal RNA". It matches the Rfam family "Bacterial small subunit ribosomal RNA", at positions 28 to 507 of the family's 1533-position model. The record is from RNAcentral.
GACGAACGCUGGCGGGGUGCUUAACACAUGCAAGUCGAACGGAAAGGCCUGCUUUCCCCUGUGGAUUGCGGGUACUCGAGUGGCGAACGGGUGAGUAACACGUGAGUGAUCUGCCCCCAACUUGGGUAUAAGCCUGGGAAACUGGGUCUAAUUCCCGAUAGGACUGCAGGGUGGUGCCUGUGGUGGAAAACGAUUUUCUAGUGGUUGGGGAUGAGCUCGCGGCCUAUCAGCUUGUUGGUGGGGUAAUGGCCUACCAAGGCGGCGACGGGUAGCCGGCCUGGGGGGGUGGACGGCCACAUUGGGACUGAGAUACGGCCCAGAAUCCUACGGGAGGCAGCAGUGGGGAAUAUUACACAAUGGGCGGAAGCCUGAUGCAGCGACGCCGCGUGGGGGAUGACGGCCUUCGGGUUGUAAACUCCUUUCGACCGCGAGGAAGCCACCUGGUUGGAAGGGUGGUGACGGUAGUGGUAGAAGAAGCACCGGCUAACUACGUG